AUUGAACGCUGGCGGCAUGCCUUACACAUGCAAGUCGAACGGCAGCACGGGUGCUUGCACCUGGUGGCGAGUGGCGAACGGGUGAGUAAUACAUCGGAACAUGUCCUGUAGUGGGGAAUAGCCCGGCGAAAGCCGGAUUAAUACCGCAUACGAUCUACGGAUGAAAGCGGGGGACCUUCGGGCCUCGCGCUAUAGGGUUGGCCGAUGGCUGAUUAGCUAGUUGGUGGGGUAAAGGCCUACGAAGGCGACGAUCAGUAGCUGGUCUGAGAGGACGACCAGCCACACUGGGACUGCGACACGGCCCAGACUCCGACGGGAGGCAGCAGUGGGGAAUUUUGGACAAUGGGCGAAAGCCUGAUCCAGCAAUGCCGCGUGUGUGAAGAAGGCCUUCGGGUUGUAAAGCACUUUUGUGGAAAGAAAUCCUUGGCCCUAAUACGGUCGGGGGAUGACGGUACCGGAAGAAUAAGCACCGGCUAACUACGU
This 483-nucleotide ribosomal RNA is filed under the name uncultured bacterium. RNAcentral describes it as "partial 16S ribosomal RNA". It matches the Rfam family "Bacterial small subunit ribosomal RNA", at positions 30 to 506 of the family's 1533-position model. The record is from RNAcentral.